Long non-coding RNA from Aedes aegypti (yellow fever mosquito), 874 nucleotides. RefSeq lists it as uncharacterized. Lineage: Eukaryota; Metazoa; Arthropoda; Insecta; Diptera; Culicidae. The transcript has 2 exons. The record is from RefSeq and is a predicted model, not a curated record.
AGAUCUAACACCCGUUUUUUAUAUUUUUCUUCGAAAGAUAAUUAUUUUUCACUAACACUCCCGUUGGAAUUUUUCUUUUUAUACCAUUCUUGAAUUUUUGACAAAAUUUCAAAAAUUUGAAAUCUUUCAAUAUUUUGAGACAUGCGGAACGAAAAUAGUAACCCUAGAAGUGAGGAUGUAAAACCGGUUAACUGAUAACCCUAUCAUCAGCUGUUGUUUACUUUUUGAAAUGUCAAUCGUUUCAUCGUGUUUUCAAUCGCGGUAGAAAUCACAUCGUGUGAGUAUUUGCAUUUUUUUUAAUUAAUAACUUAUUCGACAUGUUCUGAGGAAAUAUUCUGUAAUAAACUAUUACGAUGCGUAUUCAUUACGAGCUGAGGCCUUUGUUUUGUAACCUAAUCACCCCACCUGCUGUCUUCCAGAUGAGAUUUAGGUGCACUCCGGAAGCAGUUAAACAAUAAUGUACUCUAUGAUUAAUAUACUACUACACCACGCAAUCUUGGAGUUAUCAUAUGAUCAGUUCAAGAAUUUAUCAACUCCGGCGGCGAAAAGAAGUGCAUGCAUGCUCGCAUUCUCCGUUCGCUCCUGACGGGUGGCUCAGCAGUUAACAAUCUGAACGGUAUGAAGAAUAUCCUGACGAACGGCGGGACCAGUAUGCUUCGGGAAAACUUCAUCAACGGUAUGGAUGACUAUCAUCUGGGUGUUUUCAGUAGACGCAAGAAGGAUGAACAACUCGAGUAACAAAUCCCAAUCCUCUAAAUUGAAUAAUAAUCGAACACCUUCAUUCAAGUUGGUAUUUCUAAUAGAUUCUUGGAAGAAGUACAUGUACAUAUUCAUUAAAUAAUAAAUAAUGUUGAUUAUUCAAUUUUAAAGUAAA